GGCUGCGCUCGUGAGCCAUGGACGCUGGGCCUGCGCAUCUGGAGGCUGUGCUCCGCAACGGGAGAGGCCGCAGCAGUGAGAGGCCUGCGUACCACAAAAAAAAAAAAAAAAAGGAAAAACAAACAAACAAACAAACAAAAAACAAUUCAAGAACAAAAAGGCAAACAGUGCAAUUUUUCCAAACGGCCAAAGGAAUAAAAAAAUUCUCCAAAUAACCAAUACGUUCAUGAAUAAAAUGAACGACGUCAUUACUCGCUCCAUAAAUGUAAAUCAAAACAUGAUGAGAUAUUCCUUCACACCCACCAGCGGGCUCGAAUUUUUUUUUAAGGAAAAUAAUGUCGACAAGGAUCUGGAGAAAUUGGAACCCUCAUACAUUGCUAGUGGGAAUGUAAAAUGGUGCUGCCAGUGUGGAAAACAUCUGGCAUUUCCUCCGAAAUUUAAAAUUAGAAACUAACAUUUGACCCAGAAAUUUCACUCCUAGGUACAUGCCCGAGAAAACUGAAAUCAAUGAUCCAAAAAAAAAAAAAAAAAAAAAGGAAAA
This is a long non-coding RNA of Orcinus orca (killer whale), 541 nucleotides long. RefSeq lists it as uncharacterized. Lineage: Eukaryota; Metazoa; Chordata; Mammalia; Artiodactyla; Delphinidae. The transcript has 2 exons. The record is from RefSeq and is a predicted model, not a curated record.